RNAcentral lists this non-coding RNA (30 nucleotides) under Cricetulus griseus (Chinese hamster). Lineage: Eukaryota; Metazoa; Chordata; Mammalia; Rodentia; Cricetidae. The record is from RNAcentral.
UAACACAUAGACUUUAAAAAGCACUCCAGA